Molecule: ribosomal RNA, 397 nt
Filed under: uncultured bacterium
Lineage: Bacteria
Description: bacterial SSU rRNA
Rfam family: Bacterial small subunit ribosomal RNA
Source: RNAcentral
UAACACGUAGGAGACGAGCGUUAUCCGGAUUUACUGGGUGUAAAGCGCGUGCAGGCGGUAUGGAAAGUUGGAUGUGAAAGCUCCCGGCUUAACUGGGAGAGGUCGUUCAAAACUACCAAACUAGAGUACAGCAGAGGGGAGUGGAAUUCCGAGUGUAGCGGUAAAAUGCAUAGAUAUUCGGAAGAACACCAGUGGCGAAGGCGGCUCCCUGGGCUGAAACUGACGCUCAGACGCGAAAGCUAGGGUAGCGAACGGGAUUAGAGACCCCGGUAGUCCUAGCCGUAAACGAUGUGGACUUGGCGUAGGCGGGUUGAAAUCCAUCUGUGCCGAAGCAAACGCGAUAAGUCCACCACCUGGGGACUACGGCCGCAAGGCUAAAACUUAAAUGAAUUGACGG